RNAcentral lists this ribosomal RNA (119 nucleotides) under Aegilops tauschii subsp. strangulata. Lineage: Eukaryota; Viridiplantae; Streptophyta; Magnoliopsida; Poales; Poaceae. The record is from RNAcentral.
AUGUGCGAUCAUACCAGCACUAAAGCACCGGAUCCCAUCAGAACUCCGAAGUUAAGCAUGCUUGGGCGAGAGUAGUACUAGGAUGGGUGACCUCCUGGGAAGUCCUCGUGCUGCAUUCC